Molecule: long non-coding RNA, 2663 nt
Organism: Brassica oleracea var. oleracea
Lineage: Eukaryota; Viridiplantae; Streptophyta; Magnoliopsida; Brassicales; Brassicaceae
Exons: 4
Source: RefSeq, a predicted model, not a curated record
AACACAUUUCCAAAGGUGAAUUUUUUUAUCCCUUUCCAACCGUGCUCUUCCUAGACCUUAAUAAUGGUGAUGAUCGAUCCUAAUUCUGUCGCUUGCACUCCCUGCAAACCACCGUUUCUUCUCUGAAUUAAUCACGAGCGUGGCUGGAUCAUUUACUUAUGUUCUUGAUCCAUUCUUAUGAUUCGUUUCACCUCCUACCGUACCAUUUCCUAAUUCAGUUUAACCCAUAAAUCCUAAAUUGCCUAAUUCAUAAAGUCUCGAUUCACUCCUCCAUCUUUGUCUUCUUCAUUGUUUCCUUCCGUUUUCUAUACAUUUUGAAAACCCAAUUCAUAGGCGCCCAUUUCAGAGAGCCUCUUUGUCCUCUUCUUCGUCUAUGCGUAAAUUCAUCAGGUAAAUGUUAUUUUUUAUUUUGUUUAUCAAUUUGGAAAAUAUGUUUAUUGUGAGAGAAAAUUCGAAAAUUCUGUCGUGGAUCAUUUGGAUUCGAUGACCGGUCGAAGAUUUUUUUUUCCAGCAAUCGUAAUGUCAGGUAAAUGUUAUUUUUUAUUUUGUUUAUCAAUUUGGAAAAUAUGUUUAUUGUGAGAGAAAAUUCGAAAAUUCUGUCGUGGAUCAUUUGGAUUCGAUGACCGGUCGAAGAUUUUUUUUUCCAGCAAUCGUAAUGUCAGGUAAAUGUUAUUUUUUAUUUUGUUUAUCAAUUUGGAAAAUAUGUUUAUUGUGAGAGAAAAUUCGAAAAUUCUGUCGUGGAUCAUUUGGAUUCGAUGACCGGUCGAAGAUUUUUUUUUCCAGCAAUCGUAAUGUCAGGUAAAUGUUAUUUUUUAUUUUGUUUAUCAAUUUGGAAAAUAUGUUUAUUGUGAGAGAAAAUUCGAAAAUUCUGUCGUGGAUCAUUUGGAUUCGAUGACCGGUCGAAGAUUUUUUUUUCCAGCAAUCGUAAUGUCAGGUAAAUGUUAUUUUUUAUUUUGUUUAUCAAUUUGGAAAAUAUGUUUAUUGUGAGAGAAAAUUCGAAAAUUCUGUCGUGGAUCAUUUGGAUUCGAUGACCGGUCGAAGAUUUUUUUUUCCAGCAAUCGUAAUGUCAGGUAAAUGUUAUUUUUUAUUUUGUUUAUCAAUUUGGAAAAUAUGUUUAUUGUGAGAGAAAAUUCGAAAAUUCUGUCGUGGAUCAUUUGGAUUCGAUGACCGGUCGAAGAUUUUUUUUUCCAGCAAUCGUAAUGUCAGGUAAAUGUUAUUUUUUAUUUUGUUUAUCAAUUUGGAAAAUAUGUUUAUUGUGAGAGAAAAUUCGAAAAUUCUGUCGUGGAUCAUUUGGAUUCGAUGACCGGUCGAAGAUUUUUUUUUCCAGCAAUCGUAAUGUCAGGUAAAUGUUAUUUUUUAUUUUGUUUAUCAAUUUGGAAAAUAUGUUUAUUGUGAGAGAAAAUUCGAAAAUUCUGUCGUGGAUCAUUUGGAUUCGAUGACCGGUCGAAGAUUUUUUUUUCCAGCAAUCGUAAUGUCAGGUAAAUGUUAUUUUUUAUUUUGUUUAUCAAUUUGGAAAAUAUGUUUAUUGUGAGAGAAAAUUCGAAAAUUCUGUCGUGGAUCAUUUGGAUUCGAUGACCGGUCGAAGAUUUUUUUUUCCAGCAAUCGUAAUGUCAGGUAAAUGUUAUUUUUUAUUUUGUUUAUCAAUUUGGAAAAUAUGUUUAUUGUGAGAGAAAAUUCGAAAAUUCUGUCGUGGAUCAUUUGGAUUCGAUGACCGGUCGAAGAUUUUUUUUUCCAGCAAUCGUAAUGUCAGGUAAAUGUUAUUUUUUAUUUUGUUUAUCAAUUUGGAAAAUAUGUUUAUUGUGAGAGAAAAUUCGAAAAUUCUGUCGUGGAUCAUUUGGAUUCGAUGACCGGUCGAAGAUUUUUUUUUCCAGCAAUCGUAAUGUUAGUGUUGUGAUGAUUAAAGGAACAUGUUGGUAUCUUUCUCUUUUUGCAUCUCAAGAAUCGAAGAAGACAAAUAUUUAUAUAUAUAUAUGUAACUGGCCAUAACUCUGGUAUGUAGAUUUGGACCAACGUGUUUCAUAUUUUAGAAGCAUAAUUAUUUUGUCUCUUCUGCUCAUGCGAUCAGCUAGAUAUAUUGAAAAAGGCGGAUGGUGAAGAAAUUCAGCCCUUCGUUUGCGAUAACGGGACCGGAAUGGUCAAGGCCGGUUUUGCUGGUGAUGAUGCUCCAAGAGCUGUAUUCCCAAGUAUUGUUGGCCGUCCACGUCACACGAGAGUGAUGGUUGGAAUGGGACAAAAGGAUGCUUACGUUGGAGACGAAGCUCAGUCCAAACGUGGUAUCUUAACUCUCAAAUAUCCAAUCGAGCAUGGUAACUGAGAUGACAUGGAGAAGAUUUGGCAUCACACUUUCUACAACGAGCUCCGUGUCGCUCCUGAAGAACACCCGGUUCUGCUUACCGAAGCCCCGCUCAAUCCAAAGGCAAUUCGUGAGAAGAUGACUCAGAACAUGUUCGAGACGUUCAAUGCUCCUGCCAGACGGUCAAGUGAUAACCAUUGGGACAGAGCGUUUCCGGUGCCCUGAAGUCCUAUUCCAGCCAUCGAUUCCAAACUCUGAGCCAUGACAUUCAGCAAGAAUACAGAGAAGUUGUAGAGAGGCGUGUGUUUACAGGUGUUUUGUUACUUCUUGGCAAUGGUAGUUACUCUCAACUAGCAGAUGAAAAGGCAAG